RNAcentral lists this unclassified non-coding RNA (241 nucleotides) under Glomus sp. RNAcentral describes it as "partial contains 5.8S ribosomal RNA and internal transcribed spacer 2". The stretch from base 1 to 71 matches the Rfam family "5.8S ribosomal RNA", at positions 84 to 154 of the family's 154-position model. Lineage: Eukaryota; Fungi; Glomeromycota; Glomeromycetes; Glomerales; Glomeraceae. The record is from RNAcentral.
GUGAAUCAUCGAAUCUUUGAACGCAAAUUGCACUCCUUGGUAUUCCGGAGAGCAUGCCUGUUUGAGGGUCAGUUUAAACAAAAAUCGGUGCGGUUGCUGCCUUUCGUGGUGACGCACCGGAUUUGGGUCGUCUCGUAUUCGGUUAAGUGACCAAAAAUUUUGCAUGAUAUUUUUCGAACGUAUUUAAAUGAUUUCAUGUACGUUUGCGUCAUCGAAUACUAGGUGUCGUUAUUCUCCUGUU